RNAcentral lists this transfer RNA (72 nucleotides) under Ceramothamnion japonicum. RNAcentral's name for it is "Ceramium japonicum tRNA-Glu". It matches the Rfam family "tRNA". From Rfam's summary of the family: Transfer RNA (tRNA) molecules are approximately 80 nucleotides in length. Their secondary structure includes four short double-helical elements and three loops (D, anti-codon, and T loops). Lineage: Eukaryota; Rhodophyta; Florideophyceae; Ceramiales; Ceramiaceae. The record is from RNAcentral.
GCUCCUAUCGUUUAAUGGUUAAGACAAUGUUUUUUCGUAGCAUAAAUGCGAGUUCAAAUCUGGCUAGGAGUA